CGUAGACUUCUUUUUUCUGCGACGACCAAACUGAGUUGUCUAAGGUUGUUUCAUGUUCUUCUGCGGCCUUCUUCCAGGGAUCAUGAAUGUCGUAUGGCAAUAGGAAAAAUGCUCGAGCUUCCUGGGGAAAAAAGCUGGUAAUUCAUUUGGUGAACCAAGUGGUAAUUCUGAUAAAGUUAAAGACAUGAGCUCUAGUCUUAUCAAGCACGGCCUUAGCUAUCAUGGAAACGAUUUACUCUACUCAGGUGUGUUUCUUAUAUCAAGUCACUAUAUCCGAUGAACUCUAUAUUUGCAUGGGAAACACCCGUCUAGCCCUUUCAGUUUCUUGUGAGCUUAUUGUUACCCCUCUAUUCUCUAGAUUCAUACCCCCUUUGUU
This is a long non-coding RNA of Lolium rigidum, 376 nucleotides long. RefSeq lists it as uncharacterized. Lineage: Eukaryota; Viridiplantae; Streptophyta; Magnoliopsida; Poales; Poaceae. The transcript has 3 exons. The record is from RefSeq and is a predicted model, not a curated record.